Molecule: long non-coding RNA, 462 nt
Organism: Tachyglossus aculeatus (Australian echidna)
Lineage: Eukaryota; Metazoa; Chordata; Mammalia; Monotremata; Tachyglossidae
Exons: 4
Source: RefSeq, a predicted model, not a curated record
CGUUGUAAAUACAGGCCCAUUCUGCAUUUUUGACAUUAAAAGUGUUUGUCCCUCUCCUUCUCUGAGAAGCCUCCAGAUUGUUUUCCAGGAGAGGGAAGGAGGACUGAGGCAUGACCCGAGAUCCCAAAACCAACUGGCUUGUGCUAAAUCUUAACGUCAGAGCACCUGGAGGAGUGGGAAGCAGAGAGGCAGAGAUGGGUCGAGGAAGAGGAAUUAUCACACUUCCUUCUGCAUCUGCUCCCAAAGGAUUUCGUGCCUCUAGAUCUCCCCGGGGAUGCCAGGCAAAACCCAGGAUGGUGAUUCAUUCCUAAGAGGAUGGCAAACAACAUCACUUGAUUCUGAAAACACAAAACAACAGAAGCACCCUGGGGGAAUUUCUGAAUGUUCAUUUCCAUAAAAAUUAAAUAUCUAUGCAUCUUAUUUUUUUCGCCCCUUGAGCCCUGGUGGAUCUAAGCAAGAGAG